Molecule: ribosomal RNA, 441 nt
Filed under: uncultured bacterium
Lineage: Bacteria
Description: partial 16S ribosomal RNA
Rfam family: Bacterial small subunit ribosomal RNA
Source: RNAcentral
CCUACGGGGUGCAGCAGUGGGGAAUAUUGGGCAAUGGGCGCAACCCUGCCCCAGCAACGCCGCGUGAAGGAAGAAGGCUUUCGGGUUGUAAACUUCUUUUCUGGGGGACGAACAAAUGACGGUACCCCAUGAAUAAGCCACGGCUAACUACGUGCCAGCAGCCGCGGUAAUACGUAGGUGGCAAGCGUUAUCCGGAUUUAUUGGGUUUAAAGGGUGCUUAGGCGGAAGGUUAAGUCAGCGGUCAAAUGUCGGUGCUCAACACCGGCCUGCCGUUGAAACUGGUCUUCUUGAGUGAGCGAGAAGUAUGCGGAAUGCGUGGUGUAGCGGUGAAAUGCAUAGAUAUCACGCAGAACUCCGAUUGCGAAGGCAGCAUACCGGCGCUCAACUGACGCUGAGGCACGAAAGCGUGGGGAUCGAACAGGAUUAGAUACCCUUGUAGUC